This 557-nucleotide ribosomal RNA is filed under the name uncultured bacterium. Its description in RNAcentral is "bacterial SSU rRNA". It matches the Rfam family "Bacterial small subunit ribosomal RNA", at positions 112 to 704 of the family's 1533-position model. The record is from RNAcentral.
AACACGUGGGAACGUGCCUUUAGGUUCGGAAUAGCUCCUGGAAACGGGUGGUAAUGCCGAAUGUGCCCUUCGGGGGAAAGAUUUAUCGCCUUUAGAGCGGCCCGCGUCUGAUUAGCUAGUUGGUGAGGUAAUGGCUCACCAAGGCGACGAUCAGUAGCUGGUCUGAGAGGAUGACCAGCCACAUUGGGACUGAGACACGGCCCAAACUCCUACGGGAGGCAGCAGUGGGGAAUCUUGCGCAAUGGGCGAAAGCCUGACGCAGCCAUGCCGCGUGAAUGAUGAAGGUCUUAGGAUUGUAAAAUUCUUUCACCGGGGACGAUAAUGACGGUACCCGGAGAAGAAGCCCCGGCUAACUUCGUGCCAGCAGCCGCGGUAAUACGAAGGGGGCUAGCGUUGCUCGGAAUUACUGGGCGUAAAGGGCGCGUAGGCGGAUCGUUAAGUCAGAGGUGAAAUCCCGGAGCUCAACUUCGGAACUGCCUUUGAUACUGGCGAUCUUGAGUGUGAGAGAGGUAUGUGGAACUCCGAGUGUAGAGGUGAAAUUCGUAGAUAUUCGGAAG